GACGAACGCUGGCGGCGUGCUUAACACAUGCAAGUCGAACGGAAAGGCCCUGCUUUUGUGGGGUGCGCGAGUGGCGAACGGGUGAGUAACACGUGAGUAACCUGCCCUUGACUUUGGGAUAACUUCAGGAAACUGGGUCUAAUACCGGAUAGGAGCUCCUGCUGCAUGGUGGGGGUUGGAAAGUUUCGGCGGUUGGGGAUGGACUCGCGGCUUAUCAGCUUGUUGGUGGGGUAGUGGCUUACCAAGGCUUUGACGGGUAGCCGGCCUGAGAGGGUGACCGGCCACAUUGGGACUGAGAUACGGCCCAGACUCCUACGGGAGGCAGCAGUGGGGAAUAUUGCACAAUGGGCGGAAGCCUGAUGCAGCAACGCCGCGUGCGGGAUGACGGCCUUCGGGUUGUAAACCGCUUUCGCCUGUGACGAAGCGUGAGUGACGGUAAUGGGUAAAGAAGCACCGGCUAACUACGUG
RNAcentral lists this ribosomal RNA (468 nucleotides) under uncultured bacterium. RNAcentral's name for it is "partial 16S ribosomal RNA". It matches the Rfam family "Bacterial small subunit ribosomal RNA", at positions 28 to 507 of the family's 1533-position model. The record is from RNAcentral.